This 493-nucleotide long non-coding RNA is filed under the name Capra hircus (goat). RNAcentral's name for it is "lncRNA (ENSCHIG00000007618.1)". The record is from RNAcentral. Lineage: Eukaryota; Metazoa; Chordata; Mammalia; Artiodactyla; Bovidae.
AGUGGGCAGAAUGGCCAUCGGGUCAGAGGACGGAUGGUGGUGGGGGUGACUUCAUCCUCCCCAACACCAGGCGCACAUCCUGUGAAUCAGGCUGUCAUCCUGGAGGCUCUGCGGCGGGGGGCUGACCCUGGACAUCCCACCAUGGGCCAGCAUGAAUGACUGUGACUCCAGCCUUACCCCUCCUCUGCCAGAAACGCAGGCCAUGCUCCCAGGGCAGAUAGAAGGAACAGAUGAAAGCGAGAAGACCAAUUUCACUUCACACAGGCAGGAAGGAGAGUUCAAAAGGCACGGCCACCUGUCGCCUCCACAGAGGACAGAGACAUAAGGUCUCCUGCCCAACCUGAGCCCCGGGGGCUCUUCUGUCCAGCAGAGCAAACAUUUUCAUGGAAACAACCAUUUUCAUAGUCAUCAUGUAAAGACUACCUGUGUUUGCUGUGUUCUGUUUCAUAAGGGAGGGCCAGGUACAGUAGACUUCAGAAAAAAAUUCUGUGAA